This is a non-coding RNA of Pseudophryne corroboree (corroboree frog), 129 nucleotides long. The record is from RefSeq and is a predicted model, not a curated record. NCBI's taxonomy places the organism in Eukaryota, Metazoa, Chordata, Amphibia, Anura, Myobatrachidae.
GUGGUAGACUUUGCUUUGUUGCAUUAAUUCUCAGUUUAAUGUGACUUUAGUCUGCCACACAAAUAAAAUGGUUCCUGCCGACAGGGCCUGUAUAGAAAUUGGGCUUCCUGUGCGAUGGCUCCAUACAUA